UCCCCGCGUAAUUUAGGCAUAUUAUUAAGCGGAGGAAAAGAAACUAACUAGGAUUCCCUUAGUAGCGGCGAGCGAACAGGGAAGAGCCCAGCACCGAAUCCCGCGGUCGGAAACGAUCGCCGGGAAAUGUGGUGUUUGGAAGGGUCCGUUAUCCCGAGAACACGCGACGCGUCCAAGUCCAUCUUGAACGGGGCCACUACCCAUAGAGGGUGCCAGGCCCGUAGCGACCGUCGCCGUUUUCGGGAGGAUCUCUUCCGAGAGUCGGGUUGCUUGAGAGUGCAGCCCUAAGUGGGUGGUAAACUCCAUCUAAGGCUAAAUAUAACCACGAGACCGAUAGCGAACAAGUACCGUGAGGGAAAGUUGAAAAGAACUUUGAAGAGAGAGUUCAAUAGUACGUGAAACCGUUCAGGGGUAAACCUGAGAAACCCGAAAGGUCGAAAGGGGAGAUUCAUUCGCGUUUCGACGCACGGCGCUCGACGGUAGCGCGUUCGGCGUUCGCGUCGUUCGCUCCUUCCGUUGAGCGAUCCGUAGUCGAAAGCGUGCACUUCUCCCCUAGUAGGACGUCGCGAUCCGUUGGGUGUCGGUCUAAGGCCCGCGGUGGAGCCCGUGAGCGCGGUUCGCCGUCGUUCGCGGACCCGCGGUGUUUCCCGACCGACUCGCCCGACGGUCUAAAUGAGGCGCGGGGCCGCGACUCAGUUCGCGUUCGACACGUAGCAAGCUCGUUCGUCGAAUCGAAGAUCGGACCUAGCGCCGAUCCCGAUCGCUGACGGCUGUGGUUGCGUUGUUCUCGAACAGACCCCGUCGAAACGCCGAUCUGCGACGCUAUAGCUUUGGGUACUUUCAGGACCCGUCUUGAAACACGGACCAAGGAGUCUAGCAUGUACGCGAGUCAUUGGGACAUAACUAAACCUAAAGGCGUAAUGAAAGUGAAGGUCGGCCUAGCGCCGACCGAGGGAAGACGAGCGAUCGAAUUUCGGUCGCUCCGCACUCCCGGGGCGUCUCGUUCUCAUCGCGAGAAGAGGCGCACCAAGAGCGUACACGCUGGGACCCGAAAGAUGGUGAACUAUGCCUGGUCAGGACGAAGUCAGGGGAAACCCUGAUGGAGGUCCGUAGCGAUUCUGACGUGCAAAUCGAUCGUCGGAACUGGGUAUAGGGGCGAAAGACUAAUCGAACCAUCUAGUAGCUGGUUCCCUCCGAAGUUUCCCUCAGGAUAGCUGGCGCUCGUUGCGUACGAGUCUCAUCCGGUAAAGCGAAUGAUUAGAGGCAUUGGGGUCGAAACGACCUCAACCUAUUCUCAAACUUUAAAUGGGUGAGAUCUCCGGCUUGCUCGAACUUGAAGCCGCGAGAAUAUCGGAUCAGAGUGCCAAGUGGGCCAUUUUUGGUAAGCAGAACUGGCGCUGUGGGAUGAACCAAACGCCGAGUUAAAGCGCCUAAAUCGACGCUUAUGGGAUACCAUGAAAGGCGUUGGUAACUUAAGACAGCAGGACGGUGGCCAUGGAAGUCGGAAUCCGCCAAGGAGUGUGUAACAACUCACCUGCCGAAGUUACUAGCCCUGAAAAUGGAUGGCGCUGAAGCGUCGUGCUUAUACUCGGCCGUCAGCGGCAUGUGCGAUCGCCUCGUGCGGUCAUGAAGCCCUGACGAGUAGGAGGGUCGCGGCGGUGCGCGCAGAAGGGCUGGCCGUGAGGCCGUCUGGAGCCGCCGUCGGUGCAGAUCUUGGUGGUAGUAGCAAAUACUCCAGCGAGGACCUGGAGGACUGACGUGGAGAAGGGUUUCGUGUGAACAGCCGUUGCACACGAGUCAGUCGAUCCUAAGCCCUAGGCGAAAGCCGAUGUUGAUGCGGUGUCUGUUCAUCGUCGUUGUUUGUUUGUUCGAACGUCAAAACGAGACGCACCCAUCGGGCGAAAGGGAAUCCGGUUCCUAUUCCGGAACCCGGCAGCGGAACCGUCUUAAAAUCGGGCCCUCACAAGAGAGUUCGUCGGGGCAACCCAACAUGACCCGGAGACGCCGUCGGGAGAUCCGGGAAGAGUUUUCUUUUCUGCAUGAGCGUUCGAGUUCCAUGGAAUCCUCUAGCAGGGAGAUAUGGUUUGGAACGCGAAGAGCACCGCAGUUGCGGCGGUGUCCGGAUCUUCCCCUCGGACCUUGAAAAUCCGGGAGAGGGCCACGUGGAGUCGUCGCGCCGGCUCGUACCCAUAUCCGCAGCAGGUCUCCAAGGUAAAGAGCCUCUAGUCGAUAGAAUAAUGUAGU
This 2244-nucleotide ribosomal RNA is filed under the name Aphorista morosa. RNAcentral describes it as "eukaryotic LSU rRNA". It matches the Rfam family "Eukaryotic large subunit ribosomal RNA", at positions 24 to 1904 of the family's 3401-position model. Lineage: Eukaryota; Metazoa; Arthropoda; Insecta; Coleoptera; Endomychidae. The record is from RNAcentral.